RNAcentral lists this ribosomal RNA (477 nucleotides) under uncultured bacterium. RNAcentral describes it as "partial 16S ribosomal RNA". It matches the Rfam family "Bacterial small subunit ribosomal RNA", at positions 28 to 506 of the family's 1533-position model. The record is from RNAcentral.
GAUGAACGCUGGCGGCGUGCUUAACACAUGCAAGUCGAACGAGAAGUGAAGACGGAAACCUUCGGGCGGAAGGCUUUAUUUCGAGUGGCGGACGGGUGAGUAACGCGUGGGUAACCUGCCUCAUACAGGGGGAUAACAGUUGGAAACGACUGUUAAUACCGCAUAAGACCACAGCACCGCAUGGUGCGGGGGUAAAAACUCCGGUGGUAUGAGGUGGACCCGCGUUCGAUCAGCCAGUUGGCGGGGUAACGGCCCACCAAAGCGACGAUCGAUAGCCGAUCUGAGAGGGUGACCGGCCACAUUGGGACUGAGACACGGCCCAAACUCCUACGGGAGGCAGCAGUGGGGAAGAUUGCACAAUGGGGGAAACCCUGAUGCAGCGACGCCGCGGGAGUGAAGAAGUAUUUCGGUAGGUAAAGCUCUAUCAGCAGGGAAGAAAAGGACGGGACCGGAGUAAGAAGCCCCGGCGAACUACGU